RNAcentral lists this ribosomal RNA (309 nucleotides) under uncultured bacterium. RNAcentral describes it as "bacterial SSU rRNA". It matches the Rfam family "Bacterial small subunit ribosomal RNA", at positions 28 to 307 of the family's 1533-position model. The record is from RNAcentral.
GACGAACGCUGGCGGCGUGCCUAACACAUGCAAGUCGAACGAAGCUUGACGAACGAUUCUUCGGAUGAAUUCUGAUAUGACUGAGUGGCGGACGGGUGAGUAACGCGUGAGCAACCUGCCCUUCAGAGGGGGAUAGUGUCUGGAAACGGACAGUAAUACCGCAUAAUGUACAUUGAUGGCAUCUUCGAUGUACCAAAGCUUUUGCGCUGAAGGAUGGGCUCGCGUCUGAUUAGAUAGUUGGUGGGGUAAUGGCUACCAAGUCGACGAUCAGUAGCCGGACUGAGCCAUGAUCAAACUCGUGUCUAACAG